RNAcentral lists this unclassified non-coding RNA (323 nucleotides) under Hevea brasiliensis (rubber tree). The record is from RNAcentral. Lineage: Eukaryota; Viridiplantae; Streptophyta; Magnoliopsida; Malpighiales; Euphorbiaceae.
ACUGGAAAUGGGGUUACUAGGGAAUUUGGUUUAAGAUUGUGGGCACAAGAGAAUUUGAUGGGUACUGUUGAAGAAGCUGAAAGGUACAAUACAACUAAGCGCAGAGAUUUGGUAAUGGGGUUGGGGUUCUGUGGAGUUACAAGUUUUUUGGUGGGUUCUUGUUAUGCUGAGGCAGCUGGAUUGCCACCUGAGGAAAAACCAAAACUUUGUGAUGCUACAUGUGAGAAAGAGCUUGAAAAUGUUCCUAUGGUAACAACCGAAUCAGGUUUGCAGUAUAAGGACAUCAAAGUUGGUCGAGGCCCUAGUCCCCCUGUUGGUUUCCA